UCGACAUACAAGAAGAUUGUAUCAUGGGUUCGAAUCCCAUUUCCUCCG
RNAcentral lists this transfer RNA (48 nucleotides) under Scutellaria tsinyunensis. RNAcentral describes it as "tRNA-Ser". Lineage: Eukaryota; Viridiplantae; Streptophyta; Magnoliopsida; Lamiales; Lamiaceae. The record is from RNAcentral.